AGAGAUACUCUUUGAAAGAGUAUUAAGUGGUGUGACUGUUUUGUCCCUGUAUUAACAAUAAGUCAUUUUUCCUCACAAUCUGUUUAUAUUUCAUUUUUCUGACAUUUAAAAUCUUCUCCUUUAUUAUUACCUUUCAAAAUUAUUUAUUUUUAAAAACUGACAAAUAAAAUGUCAGAAUAUAUAUAUAUAUUUAUAAUGCAUAAUAUGAUUUAAUUGAAAUUUUGUAACUAUCUCCCCGAUCUGCUCACCCACCUCAACUCCAGCCCUUGGUAACCACUGUUCUAAUCUCUACUUCUAUGAGUUCGACUUACCUCGAUUCUAUAUAUAAGUGAGAUAAUACAAUAUUUGUCCUUCCAUGUCUGGUAUUACCAUUUAAACUUUUUAUUUUCUUGAAUGUGCUUUAUUCUUUGUUCAUGCAUUGCCUUUCUCUACAGCUUUUAUGUUACAUCAGAAAACUGAGCAUGCUAUUGUUUUAAUUGUUGCCUAUCAGUUUACUAUAAGUGGCAGAAUUACAUAAAUUGUAAAUAAGAGAUUUAGACAUCUUUACUGAUUUUUGUUUCUUACAUAUUUUCUCUAUGUACCUACACAUUUUUCAAUGGAGGUUUUGACAUUUUCAGUAUCAUAACAAAGCAGCCUUAAAAUAAUAAGAGAUACAGAAAUACAGACACUUCAAGUUCAUUUUUAAUCUUCUAUUUUUGUUUUUUCUUCCAUUCUUACAGGAUGUGGAAAGGAAAGCAGUCUUUGUAGUGACAAACCUGACCAAUGUACCCGUGGGGAAAAAGACUCGUUUUCUUCAAGACUGAAAAAGGCAGAUUUUGACACUUUAACUGUAAGAAGACUGAGUCUCAAAAAUGUCUCAUUUGUGUAAGGCCUCACUCCCCAUAUGAUGAAAGGGUAAGAUUCUAAAGCAUAUAUUCUAAGGUAGCACAACUUACUUUUACUGAAUGUAUUUUAUGAGUAUGGCCAUUUUUUAAAGUAUUUUCAAUUGGACUAUAAGCUUUUUGAGGUCUUUGAGAUCUUUUAUAUGCUCCACACACAAAUUGCCUUAGCAGACAAUAAAUAUUGAUCAACUGGUUGAAUUUU
Molecule: long non-coding RNA, 1083 nt
Organism: Callithrix jacchus (white-tufted-ear marmoset)
Lineage: Eukaryota; Metazoa; Chordata; Mammalia; Primates; Cebidae
Source: Ensembl